This 400-nucleotide ribosomal RNA is filed under the name Rhizophagus sp. CSD-2020a. RNAcentral's name for it is "partial large subunit ribosomal RNA". Lineage: Eukaryota; Fungi; Glomeromycota; Glomeromycetes; Glomerales; Glomeraceae. The record is from RNAcentral.
AGAGUUAAACAGUACGUGAAAUUGUUGAAAGGGAAACGAUUGAAGUCAGUCGUACCGAUGGGCACUCAACCUCUCGGGCGGGAUCGUGUCAGAUGUGGGAAGAUCUCACUUUGCCAUUGUUCCUACCUCUGGGGUGUAAUUGUCCGUAUGGUAGGUUAACAUCAAUUUUGGUCAUCAUAAAAUGACGGGGGGAAUGUAGCUUCCUUUGGAAGUGUUAUAGCCUCUGGUAGAUGUGAUGAACGGGAUUGAGGAUUGCAACGAAUACCCUUUGGGCUACCUGUCUGAUCUCUGAUCGUCGCCUUGGUGCUGAAAGCGUGCUUACGGUAUCAAUGUUUGAUGGUUACAAGGUUAGCACGGGUUACAUUCGUUAAGGAUGUUGACGUAAUGACUUUAAACGACC